UACGGAGGGUGCAAGCGUUAAUCGGAAUUACUGGGCGUAAAGCGCGCGUAGGCGGCUUUGUAAGUCGGAUGUGAAAGCCCCGGGCUUAACCUGGGAAUUGCAUUCGAUACUGCAUGGCUAGAGUAUGGUAGAGGGUAGCGGAAUUCCGGGUGUAGCGGUGAAAUGCGUAGAUAUCCGGAGGAACACCAGUGGCGAAGGCGGCUACCUGGACCAAUACUGACGCUGAGGUGCGAAAGCGUGGGGAGCAAACAGG
Molecule: ribosomal RNA, 253 nt
Filed under: uncultured bacterium
Lineage: Bacteria
Description: partial 16S ribosomal RNA
Rfam family: Bacterial small subunit ribosomal RNA
Source: RNAcentral